Molecule: long non-coding RNA, 874 nt
Filed under: Equus asinus (donkey)
Lineage: Eukaryota; Metazoa; Chordata; Mammalia; Perissodactyla; Equidae
Description: lncRNA (ENSEASG00005031701.1)
Source: RNAcentral
CGAAUGAUUAGGAAACAACACUUCUGGCCUCAGAUGACUUUGUACAAAUGCAUAGAGUAUAAAAGGAAAUAAAAUCUUGAAUCAAAAUGAAGCUUCUAGAAGUUCAUUCUUUGGAAGGAAAUAUUAUUGCCUUUUCUCCUUCUGCAUGAAGCGGAUGACCAGAUGUACCACUUGAAGUUCUGCCUACCAGGCUACUUUCCUUCAUCAAUGCCAUCAGGGCCGUGCCUGAGUGUGAUGUGGUGGUGGAGACAUCCACUUCUGGCUGCUGCCAGCAUAUCAUGCUGACUCAUGUAGACAAGGGCACCACUGAUAAAGCCAUUGGGGAUAAAACUCACAAUCUCGACCCCCAAGCAAAGGAGCUAUCUGGUCACCUUCCUAUGUGAAGGUGGCAAUCGAUCUACUCCACAGCACCUGGAAUGUGUGAGUCCCAGCGAGGCAGCCACAUCAGUGGUAGUACAAGGUGGUGACAGUGGUGGUGACAGUGGAAAGAGUAGGACUGAGAAAUAGAAGAGCCUGAGAUGAAGAUGCGGGGAAGAAGGCCAAGGAGGGGUGACUGGAGACUUCACCCUGGGUCACACAUCAAAGAACUGUGGCUCUGGCCCCAGCCAUGGACACAUCUGCAGAGAAAGCCCAAGCUGAUGUUCAUCUCCCUGCUGGUGCCUGCUUAAGAGUGUGGGCGUGAUGUCUAAAUACAUAAUUAAAGUUAAUCUUGUUGCCAUUACGUUAUUCAUUAUAGUGAUUUUCUGGUUGCUUUUACGGAUCAUUGUAAAACUAGUUUUGGGUGAAAUAUGUAUCUUCACUUUUUUCCGUCUUAAUUUUUGAGAGUGCCUAUAUUCUUCAGUUGCUAAGUAACAUGCCGAUAAUAUGUUAUCCC